GGACCAUUAGCUCAGCGGUAGAGCGUCCGCUUGAUAAGCGGAAGGCCGUUAGUUCAAGUCUAACAUGGUCCA
RNAcentral lists this transfer RNA (72 nucleotides) under Chromochloris zofingiensis. RNAcentral describes it as "tRNA-Ile". It matches the Rfam family "tRNA". From Rfam's summary of the family: Transfer RNA (tRNA) molecules are approximately 80 nucleotides in length. Their secondary structure includes four short double-helical elements and three loops (D, anti-codon, and T loops). Lineage: Eukaryota; Viridiplantae; Chlorophyta; Chlorophyceae; Sphaeropleales; Chromochloridaceae. The record is from RNAcentral.